Bos taurus (domestic cattle) is the source of this 1436-nucleotide long non-coding RNA. Lineage: Eukaryota; Metazoa; Chordata; Mammalia; Artiodactyla; Bovidae. The record is from Ensembl.
GUAGGUUGCUGUGCUGGGCAAACAGUGGCCCCAAGAAUAUUCAAAACCAUCCCCAAACCACAUGUAUCUGCAGCUUAUAAAUCCUUCAUCAAUUCUCCAGUUUUCAAACAUAAAUUGUUUGCCCAGACCCUAUUCAUUACUUACACUCCAGACCAGUGAUUUUCAAAGUGAGGCCCUUUGGACAAGCAGCAGCAUUCCAGAAGACUAGUUAGAAAAUUCUUAGGCUGCAUACCCAGCCCUUCAGAAUCAGAAACUGCAUACAAGUCCAGGUCUCUGGUUAACAAGCCCUCCAAGUGUUGCAGAGGUCCACUCAGAAGUUUGACAAACAGCUCUCCUCCCCAGAGGUGAAUCACAGUUACCAGCUGAACGCCACGGCAGAGGCAGAAUGUUCUCUAAAUGGGAGGGCAGGGAAAAACCAAAGAAGGAGAAGAAAGAUUUUUAACUUUACUUCUCCAGGAAACCAGUGGAUCCGCUCCACUUGUGCAGAGCCCACCACCUGUGGACUUGGAGCAAAGCAUCCGGUUAAUCCUCCCAUAAGGUUAAUUGACACUGAGAUCACUGUACCUUGGUGGAAAUUUUUUAAAAAGUCUCUAUCAGGCAAACAUUUCUUCUCUGAGAGAAAGUAUCUGAAAUGCUUGGGUGACAGCUAGGAAUUCUGGUGUGGACCUUGGAAUUUCCCAAGGUCCCUUCUUUAUCUUAAUGUCAUCGGGCUUCAAGUUCCACCCACUCCCUGGCGCUACACAGCCUGAGUGCCCAGCAGCCCUGCCCACCGAAUCUGUUCUGUUUGCCUGAACUCACCUGGCGCUGCCUGAUGCCCUCAGCCGUUAGUAGUGAUGGAUGGAAAGAGGACCAGGGUGCUUAAUCAAUGGAUGAUGACAAUUCUUCUGCUCUUGGUUCCUGGGGGAACCUCAAGGACAGCAAGAUUUCUUCAUUAGCUGGUGGCUGAAUGUUGGCCUGAAGAACUCCUCUUUUCAACCUCAGGCUGCGUGGCCACCUUGGUUCCUUUGCCUGGACUUUUCUUCCAGUUCCUUGAGUCCCCCAUCCUUUUGUUUUUUGCCACGGCUUUCAUUGUGGUAUAACUUACAUACCAUUAGAUGUACUCAUUUCCAAGUGUUCGAUUCAAAGAUUUUUAGUAAACGUUGUGCAACUAUCACAAUUCAAUUUUAGCACCUUUUGAUCACCCAUUUGCAGUCACGUCUGGUUCCUUUUUGGCAAUGGGAAGCCUGGGUCAUCCUUUCCCACUAUCUCCUGGGAGAGCUGAUCCCAAAGGAAAGAGCCCAGAAGGAGUUCAUUCAAAUAAAGAAACUUUAUCAGAAUGAAGUGGCUGCCACCAAAACUCUGCUCUCCCCCAAGACUCCAGCCCCUGUCAUGGCUUUGGCCUUGGUUCACAAGAGCCUGCAGGAGGAGGUGUGGUAAGGUCACCCAGACCCCCACAC